This 450-nucleotide ribosomal RNA is filed under the name uncultured bacterium. Its description in RNAcentral is "partial 16S ribosomal RNA". It matches the Rfam family "Bacterial small subunit ribosomal RNA", at positions 354 to 796 of the family's 1533-position model. The record is from RNAcentral.
GUGGGGAAUCUUCCGCAAUGGACGAAAGUCUGACGGAGCAACGCCGCGUGAGUGAAGAAGGUUUUCGGAUCGUAAAGCUCUUUCGUUAGGGACGAACGUGCUCUUUGUGAAUAAUGAGGAGUAAUGACGGUACCUAAAUAAGAAGCCACGGCUAACUACGUGCCAGCAGCCGCGGUAAUACGUAGGUGGCAAGCGUUGUCCGGAAUUAUUGGGCGUAAAGCGCGCGCAGGCGGGAUAUCAAGUCUGUCUUAAAAGUGCGAGGCUCAACCUCGUGAGGGGACAGAAACUGGUAUUCUUGAGUGUCGGAGAGGAAAGUGGAAUUCCAAGUGUAGCGGUGAAAUGCGUAGAGAUUUGGAAGAACACCAGUGGCGAAGGCGACUUUCUGGACGAUGUCUGACGCUGAGGCACGAAAGCUAGGGGAGCGAACGGGAUUAGAAACCCGUGUAGUCC